AUUUAAAGCAGCUAUCCACAAAUACACUUCCUGUUUGAAGAAGGAGAGUUUAGUAAAAGCUACUUGAUGAAGGCACACAAGUUGCCACCAGUUAAAAAAGACUGAAUGCACAUUCAGCUGUCACUGAAGUCUAGGACUCAGCUGUGCACUAUGCACCUUCUCCUCUGCUCCUUUGUGAGAGAAUGCCAGGCAUGAGCCUCAAGAAAGAACCAGAAGUCACUCUGAAGAAGUGAAAGCUUGGACAGACAAGAGAAAACUGAAGAAAAUAAAGGACCUUCCCCUGGAGAAGAGAAGGAGAAAAACUUUUUAACUCAUAAGGAGAACACAAAUAUUCAUUGCAAUGACAAUAUCAGUCACAAGAAAAGCUAAGCAUCAUCUCCAGUAAGCUGUGGUACUUUAUUGCUUCCUUUGAAGAACUGCAGAGAUUGGGCAUAGCAAGAAUAGCAUCUACGACCUGAAAGCUUUCCACCCAGCUGCUGCUGCUUCUGGCCCCUCUCAGGACAGAGCUCAGGCCUUCUCAACAAUAAACUGAAACACCAGUGUUGCUGUCUUUGAGUUUGUGGCCCUCUUUCUGUGUGUGGCCCUAGGGAGCCUCAAGAUAAAUGUCUUCAGCCAUGCUGCUCCUGCUUCAGCCGUUCUGUUUGGCUUUACAAUUUACACCCUUUUUCUACAGACCAUAAUUUACACCCUUUUUCACCAUCCCCACAGUUGGAGAUUCCCAACUCCAGCUGUGGGGACGGUGAGCUGCCCCCAGUCAUGUGCUUUGUGUUUGGGUUUGUUGUUCGGCCGGGUACUAAGGAAAGUCAAUCUCCCUCAGGAUCCUGAGGAGGACACAGAUCCAUGAUGUCCCAAUUCCUUGUCUCUGCCUUGGUGGAAAUCUUGGGGUAAGAUUUCAUGUGAUAUGGGUACCUCAGCCUGACAGACACUUUAUAUAAACUGUGAUAAGAUUGAAUUCAAAUCCUAGACUCAAAAUCCCUCUAAAUAUUGAAGGGUUUAAAGCCAAGAGGAAAAAAAAAUAUGCAAUAAUGUGUUAACACUCACAGAAUGAAAGGUGUAACAUGACAACCAAAUAAGUUAAAUAUCAAUGCUAGCAGAAAAAUCUGAUCAAAUUAAGUUAGCAGAAAAGUCUGAUUAAAUUAAAUCUCUCAAAUGAAAAAUCCAGUUCUGCCUUAAUAAUCUUUGGGACCUGAGUUCACCCAAGAGCACAUGUUCUUUUCUUGUCUUUCAGACACUAAAUUUGUUUUGUAGUUUAAUUAUAUCAAUUGCCUUUUCUGUGACAAUUCUGUACAAUGCUUUCCUCUCCUUGUAUCUUAUCAUUUUCUAUUGCUCAUUAAAGCCUUUAAUGCUUUCUAAUACUAAUAGGAAAACCAAAACAAUGUCACUUUUCAUAGUUUCAAUGGUUACCUUUUUUUACUGCUGAACACAGUGGCAGUUCAGAGAAAAUUUCCUAUCAGUCUUGGUAGUAUUGCAAGUUUCCAACAAAACAGAGCACUUUGUCAG
Molecule: long non-coding RNA, 1500 nt
Organism: Zonotrichia leucophrys gambelii
Lineage: Eukaryota; Metazoa; Chordata; Aves; Passeriformes; Passerellidae
Exons: 5
Source: RefSeq, a predicted model, not a curated record